This is a long non-coding RNA of Myripristis murdjan (pinecone soldierfish), 563 nucleotides long. RefSeq lists it as uncharacterized. NCBI's taxonomy places the organism in Eukaryota, Metazoa, Chordata, Actinopteri, Holocentriformes, Holocentridae. The record is from RefSeq and is a predicted model, not a curated record. The transcript is spliced from 4 exons.
UGGCGUUGCUGAUUUCGCCAGGUCUUCUCCUCUCCGAAAAUUUGAGGCUGUCGGCUGGCUGCGGCUGUGUGGGACUGGAGGUCGUCUACGCUGUUGUUCGCUCUCUCCAGCAGCGUUAACUGCGGCCUGCUGCUCUCCCUCUCCUCCCCGGCGGAGACGCUGUGCCUGUGCUCUGUGCUCUGUGGCACGUUUUGGCCUGGCUGUGCGCUGCGGUGCUCCACUCUCCGGCGGUCAACGCUCUGGUGCACCGGGACUCUACUGCUGUCUUGUUUGGGCUGUCUUGUUUGGGCUUGUCUUGUAUUGCUGUGUAUGCUGCCUUGUCAAUUAGUUCAUCUAUUGUCUUGUAUGCCGCAUGUUUUGCACAGCCGCAUUUAUAUUGUUGGCUCCCACUGUGGCCGCAAUUACGCCACUGUUUGUUUUACCCUGUUUGUUAUCGCCAGUGACUACUAUAAGUGCCGUGCUGUGAUUGGCUGAUCUCCCGCACCAUUGUACGCGGGGACGAACUGCAAUUGGCCCACUUUUGGGUCAGUCCCAGUAAACCCUGAUUUAUUUUAUUUAUUUAC